GUCUUUGUUUCAUUUGAGGAGGUGAGUUUAUCUUUCACAUUUGUGCGAAGGAGUCCCUUUUUUCACAUCAAGCAAAAAGAAGAUCCAGGUUCACAUCUAACAAUUAGUAUUUGAUUAUUGAGGCAAUUCUAAUAGGUGACGAAAUAUUUUUAUGAUUGAACAUGAUGUAGUGUCUUCUAAUUAACUUAAAAAGGGAGUAGUAUCUCUAAAUUCGAAGCUAGCUUAAUAUUCAUGUAUAAUCUUGACACAGCGGAUAUAGGUCUAUAUACCAAAUAAGUAAAAGAAAAAUUGGCUAAAAGUCACUUAGCAGUUCUAUCAGAAGAUACAAUAAUAUAUGGUUUCUUCAUUAUUUAAACAUCCAAAUCAACUGCUGCAGGUAUAUGCUUUGAGUCAUUCAGUGUUAU
Molecule: unclassified non-coding RNA, 404 nt
Filed under: Hevea brasiliensis (rubber tree)
Lineage: Eukaryota; Viridiplantae; Streptophyta; Magnoliopsida; Malpighiales; Euphorbiaceae
Source: RNAcentral